RNAcentral lists this ribosomal RNA (253 nucleotides) under uncultured bacterium. RNAcentral describes it as "partial 16S ribosomal RNA". It matches the Rfam family "Bacterial small subunit ribosomal RNA", at positions 524 to 776 of the family's 1533-position model. The record is from RNAcentral.
UACGGGGGGGGCAAGCGUUGUUCGGAAUUACUGGGCGUAAAGGGCGCGUAGGUGGCCUGUUAAGUCGAACGUGAAAUCCCCGGGCUCAACCCGGGAACUGCGUCCGAGACUGGCAGGCUCGAAUCCGGGAGAGGGAUGUGGAAUUCCAGGUGUAGCGGUGAAAUGCGUUGAUAUCAUCUGGAACACCGGUGGCGAAAGCGGCAUACUGGACCUUUUCUGACGCUGAGGAACGAAAGCUAGGGUAGCGAACGGG